ACGAUUCACUACUUUCCACCAUGAUAAAUGAAAAAGAAAUUUAAGUUUUAAAUCUAUGAAAACUCCUAGAUCCUUUGAGAUUCAUUGAACAUUUCAAUGGCAUGUUUAAAUCUCGAUAUGCCCCUCUAGUUUGUGACUGGGAUGCCGAGGAUCACAAAGCGGGUGUGAAUAACCAUGCAAACUUACAUGGUGCCCUCACAUGUUACAGUCACCUAUUCGAUGUGCCGGUAAACCACACACGCUCCACUGAACUAUGACAAACAUUGAGUCACCCUUUGCUACCUUUGCUUAGACCCAUUUAGUGUGCCGGUAAACCACACACGCUCCACUAACGUCUUUGCAAGGGCACAAAGUGUAAUUUCAUGGAAUUGCAUCAAUUCACUUUGGCCUAAGUAACUAAGAUUGGGAAUUUUAUGAAAACAUUUAGUUACUUUUAUACUUCAUUAUACUUAUAAUGGAAGGUUUUGUCCUAUCCUACCCGUUCGGCUAACGACCCUCCACUAGUCAAGAGUGCGGUGGGUAAGAGUGGAUACCCAUUCAAUCGCCAUUUUAUAGGCAAUUUCCUUAAACACCCCUUAUAGACCAGCUUCGUGAAUGAGGCCUACUAACGGUAAGACUGACUUUUACUCAUACAUAUAUAUAAUGUUAGACUUUUAAUGUUAUAUAUAGUAUAGGGUGUAUUUUACACUUUUAAAAUAUUAGGUGGUCAAAUUUAACAAUUAUACUUUUAAUUCAAUUAAAUUGUAAACCAAAACUUUUAUGGAUUUAUUAAACCUCUUUUAAUUAUACACCUUAAUUAAUUAAUAAAACCAUAAGGGUGUGAUUUGAACUUUUUCAAAACAAUACUAGAGUUUUAGAAUUUAACAUUCCUAAUUAAACUUUUAAUCAACUUUUAAAUUCCAAAACUUGAGGGCAAGUUUUGAAACAUUUCAACACAUUAGGGUUUAGAAUUUAAAUAUACAUCAAAAUUAAACUAUUUAAUCAAAAUUUAAAUUCCAAAACUUGAGGGCAAGUUUUGAAACCUUUUUCAAAACAUUAGGGUUUCAACUAUUUAAAUUUCAAAACAACAAAACUUUUGGGUUCAAAUUUAAACUAUAAAACCUAAAGGGGAAAAUAUGAAACUUUUCAUAACAACAAGGAUCAAAUAACAAAUAAUCUAAAUUAACAUUUAAUCACAUAAUUAUCCAUAUUUGAUUUAUUUAAUGAUUUCUUGCAAAACAAUUUAUCAAUUUAAUCAAAAUAAUUAAUCAAUUAUCACAUAAGGAAACAAAUAUUUUAUUAAUUGAUAAAUAUCUUCAAUUAGAUCAAAAAUAUAGUCAUAUAUAUAUCAUAAAAUCAGAUUUAUAUUGAUCAAUAUGAUAAAGGCAAGUAUUUCAAAGAUAAACAGGAAGAAAUCCCGAAAAUAGCUCCAUCUGACGCUCGAACUCGUCGACUACCACACUGUACUCGCCGAGUUGAGGCCUACUCGUCGAGUAUACUGUGGUACUCCCUGAGUUCAUCAGCCAGGGAGCCCAAAAAUCGAUUUUGCAACUUGAAUAAACACACAAGGCAUCAAUACAACAGAAACCAAUCUAGGCGCUGAUAACACUGAUGGGUUUUGGUCCUAAGAACAUCCUAUGUGCUCAUACAAACCCUAAUGCUUGGAUCUAGGUUUCUCUAUUGUACAUGCAAGUUAUCCAAGACUAUAAACCCUAAUUCUAGCAUACAAGUAAUCAUAUUAACAUAAGAAUGGGUUUAAUAUAUUACCUUGAUUGUUAUGUAGCAAUAACAAUCCCAAAUCUCCUUGUAUUGACUUUACAAAGCUUAAUGUCACUCCUCUAAUGGUUCACAAACACCAUAAGCAAGAGGAUGAAGUGGAGAGAGGAUGGAGGCUGCCAAAAAACGUGUGAAACCCUAGAACAAAGCUUAGCCACGUUUUUGGUCCUUAAGGGUUCUAUAUAUAGUGAGGCUAUUAGGGUUAUCUAACAAGGAAACCCUAAUUUGGAUGCUUAAGCCCUAAGCAACCCAUGGAUCCGUUUCCUUAAGGCAUGGGACGAUUUCUUAUGGGCUUCCCCAUAGAAUUCGUCCACUCCUUAAUACAAGGCAAUCCAUGGCCCAAAUUACAAUUAUCUUAUAAUUACAAUUCUAGUCCCUUAAGUUUAAUUAAUCACUUUUAGUCACAAAACUAAUUACCAAUUAAUUAUUGACUAAUAUUAAUUAAACAAUAUGAUUUCUCCUUUAAUAUAUUAUUCUCAGAAUAUAUUAAUAAAUCAUAUUUAAUCCUUUCUCUCCAUAAUUCAUCCUAUUAAGUUACUUUGCUGAAGGCAACCCAAAAGGACCAUGCACCAUCGGGUCAAGUACAUACCAAAAUAGUUGUGGACUUAGACACUAAUCAAACACUUUAAACAUUAUUUAUAUAACUAUACAAGUACAGACAUGCAUUUAACAACGUAGAAGCGUUUAACGAAGUAGAAGCACUUAAUGAAGUAGUUGCAUUUAACCAAGUAGAAGCAUAGAAGCAUGGAAGAAAACUUUGAUGAAAACUUUGGAAAACCAUUACACUUAAGAAAAUCAUGAAUUGAUAUCCUUUUGUAAAAUAAGUUUGAAGACCUUUGGAAAUCCUUGAAAAUCCUUCAUAAACAAGUUUGGAAUAUAACCUUGAUAAAACAAUAUAAGUAAAGGAAAGCCUUUGUUUAAAAUACUGCUGUAACUGGUUUUGAAGUAAAACACACAGCGCGAGAGACAAUUUGAUAAAAGAUUUAAAUAAGUAAAGACGUUUUGGAAAACCAUUUAUAGUAUCAUACUUGGUAAAACAGCUGAAAGUGUAAUAAAUCCUUGUGCAUGGGGGUUAUUAAUCACAUAUGAAUGAUAUGAUAACUGGCAUGUUUUAACUUGUAUCCCCCCCAUAAAAUCAUGUAAAAACAUUUAAAAGGUUAAUUCAGGGGUCUGAACUCACCUGUUGUAAGUGGAUCGGACGGAGAUGCCGGUUGGGUGCUCGGUGUCAAGUAAAGACUUGAACACGCUUAGUGACCUAUUAACAUAUGAUGACAUAUGUUUACAUACAAUUAGUAAUUAUAAUACUAAUUAAACACGUAUACACAUCCUAAUGAGUGGGAAACACUUUGGUCACGUGCUAGGAGUGUCCCGGGUAACAUCUAAGGGAGUGUAUGGCCUAGUUAGGGAUUUUACUCUUUAAGAGUAAACUCUUUAUAGAGUUUACGGCCCUAAGACCAUAUCCCCAUGAGUUUACGGCCGUAAAAUCAAGGCUGGUGUGUCCUUGGAUGCUUUAAGGUCUUAUCUCACUCGUGGAAUUAGGCUAGGUUCAAUUCUAGGGCAUAGGAAGUGGUUUAGGCUCCAAAGGGACCAUUUUAGGGAGUUUACGGUCCAUUGACCACUCCUUGAGGAGUUUACCGCCGUAAACACAUGAUUUUACGGUUGUAAACACAUCUUUGCCCAUUUUUUUGUUGUUUGGUGGUUCUAACUCAUGCAUGCAAGGUUCUAGUUACUUAUAUGAGCAUAGGAAGGUGUUAAAGGCACUUAAACACCUUUCCAAGGUGUUUACGGUCUAUGAAGAUAUUCUUGGGAGUUUACUACCUUAAACACAUGAGUUUAUGGUAGUGAACUCAUGUUAGUCCAUGAAUCAUGUGUUUUGGUGCAUCAAAUGAAGGUUUAGAGGGCUCUAGGCACUCAUGGAAGCUUUUGGAGGUGUUUGAGGGGUAGUUUAACACCUUAAAAGGUAUUUAUGGUCCUUGAAGAUGGGUUUACGGUCUAAGGCUGUUCUUAGACCGUAAACUCAUGUUUACUCCCCAUUUGCUAAGAUUUUGGUGUUCUAAGUACUUUCAUGAAAGCCUCUAAGUCAUUGCUAAGCAUUAGAAGUGGUUUGGAAGGGUUUUUGGGCAUCAAAACCCUCUUCCAAGGGUAUACAGUUUUGGGAUGCUCCCAAGACCGUAAACUCUUGUGCUUGGGAUUUUUUGGAAAAUUUAAACAGGAAUUUGUAAGUUAAAUGAGGUAAACAACAAGUUAGGGUAGAUCACUUACUAGUUUGGGGCUUGAAAGAGGCGAUUUCGGAGCAAACCUGAUUUAUAGAGAGAGAAAGUAGAGAGAGAGAGAGUAUCUAAUGGUGGGAAAAAGGUGGGAAUGAAACCCACUCAACCCUUAUAUAGGGUGGAGUUUAUGGCCUGGUUGGGGGUUCACCUGACACCAACCGCGAACAGGGUUUUUCACGACUACCGUUAAACACGCCAACAUUUUAAAAUUAUACCUCCUUAAUUUUGGUUCGCUGGACGAAUAUUAUUUAAAAUAUUCCAACGGGUUUAAAUCUGGUCAAAAAUAUUUUCGGGAUAAAUUUGGCUAAUUUUUGACGUAAUUAAUUUCGAUGUUAAAACUAACGGAAAUUUUUCGGUUGUCACAAAAUAACCACUCAAUUUCACAUUAUCUUGUUACAAGUUGUACCUGUAUUAGACUUCUAUUUCCAAUUCCCUACAAGAUCCAUAUUGAACAAAGUGUUUCAGUUCUGAGAUAUCAAAUUCAUAUUCAUUCUUGAUACCUUAAAAAUCAUUUAAUCUUUUAAAUUCUUUAUAGUAAAAGAUGUCUUCGCAUAAAACCCGAACCAACUAAAGAUGUUAACAUCAAUAUUCUUUCUUGAUAACUUAAUUACUUUUGCAGUACUAUAGAAACAUAGCAGAGACGUUGGUCGAAACAUUGAGAACUUUACAGGGAAAGUAGAAAGUUACAUCAAUAUAUAAUUAUAUAAGGUACAACCAUCAACAACACUAGUAUUUACUAACUCGUUUCCCUUCAUGUAUUAGAAACAUGCCUUCACAUAGAAAUGAUCAACCAACUGACGAAACCCUGAUCCUACACAUAGACUCCGCUACGUUCCAAGCCACUGUAACGGUUGCAGUGGCAGCUGUCAUGGCACAAUUCAACACUAGCAACACAAACGAAAAUGGAAACAGAGUUGAAACUUCGAACUGUAAUAACAAUCAAGGAAACCAACAACUGCCAGUCAACAAGGGCACCAAAUACAACAAGUCAGUGAGCAAGAAAUUGAAGUUACGAAAAAAAAAAAAGGAUGGGUCAGUCUUCAUAAGGACCCUCUAAAAAGCGACAAGAAGCGACAGCUUGUGCUAUUACUACUACUCCAGCAAAACGAUAUGCUGGAAACCUCCCAAAAUGCAAUGAGUGUAAUUCCCACCACAAUGGAAAUUGUCGUGACAUGUAGUGUCGGGACUUCAACAGACACGGGCACACUAUCCGAUUUUGUAAAUUCCCACCUCAGCCAAUCACCCAAGUUCCCGGUGCUGGAACAACCCAAGCAUGUUAUAAGUGUGGCGAAUUUGGACAUUUCAAAAGAGAUUUCCCAAACACAAGAAAUGACAAAGGAACUCACUUCUGUAGAACUCCAACCCAACACCUCACUUCAACCACUGACGCUAGUACGAGUGAAAUAUGUCAUGCAUGUGGUGAAAUAGGACAUCUCAAGAGAGACUAUCCGACCGAGAGAACUGAUAGAGAGAGGGGGAAGAAUAGUAGCAACAACACAAAAGGAGAUAUCGGGAAACCGCUUUGAGAUUGUUGGUACGCUCUCUUGCAAUAAUAUUAUUUUUAUCUAGAAUUUUUCAAAACUUAAUGCCAAAUUAGACCAAAUCAUACUAUGAGGUUUCAACACCAAUUCUAGAAGCACUCUCACGACAAGUACUCGCUUCUAGCAGUACAACAAACUCGUAGUAAUAAUAACAAAGAUAAAGCGAAAUGUACUAAAGUCAUAUGUACAAAAUUCACAAUCAUUCUAGCCAUCACUUUAUUCUAAAUCGGUUUAACCCCUAUACUAUACGAAGUCCUUAUGUCGUUAGUCGACCUGAGUCAAACUAAUCCUCACUGUACUAAUUUCAUAUUUUACGGGAAGAUCCUUCUCUGUGACCGAACGUCUAACGAACCCCUAUCAAACGGUACCAACAAAAACCUCCAAAUCAUUUCUUGCUUCAACAAACCCAAAGUAGCCAUGUGAGGAGCACCAAAUUUUCUAUAAUUUUGCUCAAAAUACUACCAACAGAGUUUCUAGGAAUACCACUCGCACAGAAAGUCAAAUUCACUAAUGAAGACCCCAAAAAUUUAUGCGAUUUAUCUAAUACUAUUAUAUGUAUACAUGAGGGUAGUACGUAAUUAAGAUUCUACAAGCUUAGAAUUGAUGAUUCAACUUUGACUCCUUUUCCUUGUCUGGAUGUGGACUUAGAGAUGAAUCAUUUAUUCGAAUGCUUUUUCAAUCUUAACUAUAUUCGAUGUGUAUACACGGAACUGUAUUAGGUGAAACAGGCAUAAUCCAUGCAAUGGAUUUCUUAACUAAAUUACCCAAGACACUCGGUGGUUAUGAUACCAUCUGGGGUGAUUAUUGAUAGAUUGACCAAAUCCGCACACUUUCUACCAACAAAAGAAACUGACAAGAUGAAAAAGCUAACAAGAACUUACCUCAAAGAGAUUUUCAGACUGCACGGUGUGCCAAUAUCUAUUAUCUCAAAGCGAGAUAGUAGAUUCACCCCUCGUUUCUGGCGGUCCUUAUAAAAAAUCUUUGGGGAUUAGGCUGGACAUAAGUACAGCUUACCAUCCAAAAACGGACGAACAAAGUGAGAGAAUGAAUCAAACUCUAGAAGAUGAGUUGCGAGCCUGCGUGGUAGACUUUGGGAAGGCAUGGGAUACUCAUUUAACCCUUGUCGAGUUCUCUUACAACAAUAGUAAUCACACUAGCAUAAAGGUUGCUCCAUUUGAAGCCCUCUAUGGCCGCAAGUACAGAUCACCUAUGUGCUGGGCAGAAGUGGGUGGUACGUAAAUACCUAGAGUUCAAGCUCUAGACAGUACUCACAUAGGUCCGUAAAUCAUUCGAGAAACUAUAGAGAAGAUUGUAUAAAUCCUGGAAUGACUUAAAGCUUCCAGAGAUAGACAAAAAAGUUACGCCGACAAAAAGAGAAAAUCCUUAGAAUUCUGAGUUGGUGAUCGCAUCCUAUUAAAGGUCUCAACCUGGAAGGCAUUAAUAUGUUUUGGAAAACGUGGAAAAUUAAAUCCAAGGUAUAUCAGACCAUUCGAGAUCCUUGCCAGGAUUGGCCCGGUAGCAUACAAACUUCGAUUACCGCAGGAACUCAAUAACAUACAUCCUACCUUUCAUGUGUCAAACUUAAAGAAGUGCUUGUCCGAUGAGACCCUCGUCAUACCUCUGGACGAAAUAAAAAUCAAUGAGUGUCUCCUCUUCGUAGAAGAGCCAGUAGAAAUCAUGGAUAGGGAAAUUAAAAGAACAAAACAAAGUCGCAUACCGAUUGUUAAGGUCCGCUGGAGUGCCAAGAGAGGACCUGAAUACACCUGGGAGCGCAAAGAUAAGAUGAAACAAAAAUACCCGCAUCUCUUCCCUAGUUCAUAAAUGCCUAUCUUAGAAUUAAUUUUGGGAUGAAAUUCCCUCUAAUGGGGGAUGAUGUAACAACCCAGUGUUUCAAGUCAAUAUAAUGACCUAAAGUCAAGUAUGGUAAUCUAUUUUUGAUAUAAUAAAAAUAGCGUCAAAAAUGAAAUGCUCAAAAGUCUCAGUUGGGUUGCAUAAAAUCAUAGAAAUCGUUUCAAGGUUUUCAGAAAUAUAAAGAACACUCAAAUCCGAGUUAUAACGAAGAAGUUAUGACCAAUCAAAGAUCCGCGUCAAAACCGGUAAAACAGAGUUAAGCAUAAAAAGCGAAAUCUCAAUAAAAUACUUUUUGGCCUUAGGUAUCUAAAUGAAAGUCAUGGAUCUCAUUAAACCGUAAACAUACAUAAAAAGAACGUCCAAAUCUGACUUCGUAUGAGGAAGUUGUGAUAUUUUCUAAGUUUCAGCUUAGCAGUAUGCAACCCAAAGUUUGAAUAUGAGAUCGAUGGAUUUCUAGCUGAAACAAUAUAAACGAGAAUCGAAGAUCUCGUUGAUAGUAGUUCAACAGUAAAAAGACAGAUGAAAACGGACGUCGGAUGAAGAAGUUAUGAGUUUAUAACAGAGUUUUUCUAUCCCGGCCUACUAAAAAUAAUAUAAUAAAAAUUAAAUUAUAAAUUAGCCGACGGAGUGUAAACGAGAGUUGUAGAGCAUAAUCUCACCUACGCGUGGAUAUAAAGAACGUCAAAGAUGGAGCUCGUAUACGAAUGUUAUCAAUUUCUGAUGUUCGGGGUGCGAACCCCAACACUGUGUUAGAGUUCACGACGUGAGAAAGGGGUUCACGACGUGAACUCGGUGUUGAUGUCUUCUAGAGCCUAACAGAAUGAGCAUUGCGACGACGCACCUACUGACGUCCAAGGACACGACAUCAAAUGAUGGUUCACGAUGUGAAAAUCGAAAAAUCAGCGCUAUAAAUAGAUCACAAGGGCAGUUGUUUAGGGUUGCUCAAUUCUCUUCUCUCUCACCCGUAUUACCUCGAUUUACAUGCAAUUUAUACCCUCUAAGCCCCAGUAUCAUCCUGAGACCCAAAGCGAGUCCCGAAGCCCCAAGGAUCCCGAGAAACAGAGUUUCUGAGCCGAAACUCUGCCCACGUGAAGCUCGGCUUUUCACCAAAAACCUGCGGUUACGUCCCGAAAGAUCAUUACUAGAAACGAAACGUUGCCCGAGUCACCACUUAUCAAGUGAGUUCAUAUCCCCCACAUUUUUCAUACUUUUGACAGUUUUAAAGGGGGGGGGGGGGAAUACAAGUCUAACACAAAUAUUUUGUGUUACAAAUGAUUUCAAAUAACAUUAAAAUGACAUCAAGUCAUCACAAAUAUUUUAAAGUGUUUAAAGUCUUUAAAAGGGUAUGCCAAGUUAUAUUUUUCCCCAAAAAUCAUAUUUAUAUAAUCGUAUAUGUGUAUAAAUAUAAAGGUUGUUUUAUUUCGUUUCAAUACUCUUUGUAACUUGCUGAGCAAGAGGUUGGAUUCAUGAACAGUUAGUAUCAAUACAGAGAAUACAUAUAAAUUAUAAUAGGUAGAAUUUAUGAUUUAAGAACAUUAACACACGAGUCAGGUAUACGCUACUACAUUGUUAUACAAUAACAAGGGUUGGAUUCAAAACCACACAAGUGUGAACAAUUUACAAAUUCAUUUCAAGAAUACUAAACAAGAAACUUACUAACAAUCAUUUAUUUCAGAAUGAUUGAGUUUUCAUCAUUAUUAUACACGUAACAUUAUAUACUUUUCUAGGAGUUAAUAUGUUCAAGUUGUUAGUACAUUUAAACAACAUAGUUAAAGUCCUGAUAUCAUAACCAGAAUCUCCAUCAUAGGGAUCAAAACAAAUGUGUAUAGAUCUAUAUAGGAUUGACAAUCCCGCACCUAAACUGUUAGCUACAGUUAGACCAGCAGGUCUGGGGUGACAAUUGUUGUUAACAUUUCCGACACCUCCAAAGCAUCGAAUUAGGCCAUCUAGUCAUAGUAUCGUUAUCAUAAACUCAUGAAAAAAAUAUUACACAAUAUAGUUAGUGUAUACUUAACUAAACUUGAGUACAUUUCAAAAUACUAACUUUGUAAAGAUACAAUUUACAGUAUUACAUUACGGUUUACCAUAACAGCUGGUGGAACCAGGCCCAAUUACUUUUACAUGUUUUACAACGGAAAUUAAAAUACAUAAUAUUGGUUUACAAAUGGAACGGUUUAUGGGAUUAAAAAUAUUUUUCACAUACAAAAUAAAAUAUAGGAUUUUCUGGAACAGUUUUACAUAUUCAAUGGACAGAAAACAAGCUUUUGAACAUAAAUACUGAUGCACUCACUCAGCUUGAUGUUGAUACUCCUUUUCAAAUUACUUGUAUUCUCAGGAAAUCGGUAGGUAGGUACUCCCCAAGCUUCUUAGAAGACAAAGCCAUUUUGAGUCAUGUAUUCAAUAUUUUGUAUCAAUUAUUUUAGCGUCAAUAUACUAUGAUUGAACACAUGUAUAAACUUUUACUUAUUAAUGCAGUGCUUGUUCGUACUUUGAUUUCUAUAAAUGCAUGUGUUGUGAUACUACAAAUGAAGUCAUCCACCCUCAGACGUUUCCGCCGUCUGGUUUAGGGGUGUGACACGAAUUUUGAAGAGGUGAAAGUGAGAGAGUUCUUGAGAGUUUAGAGAGAAUUUAUAAAUGAAAUGAAGUUUGAAAUAGGAGGGUGGAAGGGCCGAGAAUAAGAAGACGGGGGAGGUGGUGGUGUGGUUUUUGCAUGGUGGUCGUAAGUUGGUGCAUGGAGGUAUGUUAGGUAAUGACAUUAUUAUUUGGUGGUUAUUAGUGAGGUGUCACUUUAGUAAUCACCAUCUUUUUUUAAUUAAACCUGAGAAUUGGAGAGGGGAGGAAAAGAAAAGGGUAUUAGGCUUGAAUACAAAUCGAGAAUAUAUUAUUCCAAUAAAGAUUUUCGACACAUUGGGCCCACAUAUGUGCGCACGGCUCAAAAUGAUAAAAAUAAUGGGUUUUCGGUCUAUGUAAUUAAAGAAGAUGGUUUUCGGUCCAAUAAGCCCCAUGAUGAGUCUUAUGGCCCAAAAUGCUAUUGCUAAGUGAAUGUGGGUCCAACUAGGGCCCAAAUGAGGUUUCUUAGCCCAAAAGAAUCAUGUUGAGGGGUUAUUGGUCCAUUAGGCCCAAUAAGAGGAUCCUGGUCCAAUAAGAGUUUGAACGGGAAAGUUAGGGUUACAACCCAAAGUCGAGUGAAUGUAGUACAUUGAAUUAGGUUUGGAGCUUCACGAGUAAGUUUUGAUUCGAAUAGUUUUUUUUAAAUGAGUAGUAUGUUUAACAUCAUACUUAGGGUUACAAGAUACAUCGAAAGUUAGUUACAUAUGAACAUAAUUUCCUAGCCCUAAAAUGCUAGUUGUGACAUCAUCCCCCCGUUAGAGGGAAUUUCGUCCCAAAAUUCUUUUUAAUGUUUUUCGUAGGAACUAGAGAAAAGAUGAGGGUACUUUUGCAUCAUUUGAUUUGCGCGUUCCCAUGUGAAUUCCGGUCCACACUUUGCGUUCCAUCAAACCUUUACAAUCGGAAUGCGGCAUUGUUUUGUACGCUUUACCUCUAUGUCCAUGAUUUCAACCGGUUCUUCGACAAACAGGAGAUUUUCGUUCACCUCAAUCUCAUCCAAGGGAACAAUGAGGGUUUCAUUUGAUAGGCCCUUUUUCAUAUUUGACAUGUGGAAUAUUGGGUGUACGUUAUUAAGUUUUGGGGGUAGUUGUAGUCUGUAGGCCACCGGACCAAUCCGGGCAAGAAUCUCCAAUGGCCCGAUGUAUCGUGGGUUUAGAUUUCCCCGCUUUCCGAAUCAUACCAUCCCUUUCUAGGGAGAGAAUUUCAGUAGUACACGAUCGCCUACUUGGAAUUCCAGAGGCUUUCGCCUUUUAUCAGCAUAACUCUUUUGUCGAUCUCGCGAUGCUUUGAGUUGUUCCCUGAUUUGAACUAUUGUCUCUGUUGUUUCCCGAAUGAUCUUAGGUCCUGUAAGAGUGUUGUUCGGUAUUUCCCCUCUUGCCAGCUGAGUUUCUCCCACCUCAGCCCAGCAAAGAGGUGAUCUGCAUUUCCGGCCAUAUAAAGCUUCGAAAUGAGCCACCUUAAUGCUCGUGUGAUAGUUUUUGUUGUACGAGAACUCGAUUAGGGGCAAGUAGGUAUCCCAUUCCUUCCCAAAAUCUAUUACACAAGCUCGAAGCAUAUCUUCUAACAUUUGAAUUGUCCGCUCGCUUUGGCCGUUGGUCCGGGGUGGUAAGCAGUGCUCAUAUUGAGUUGGGUCCCCAGUGCCUUCUAGAGCAACUGCCAAAAUUGAGAGGUGAAUCUACUAUUUCGAUCAGAGAUAAUGGAUAUCAGCACCCCAUGCAGACUUAUCACUUCUUUUAUGUAGAUUCGUGUUGAGCUUUCCAUCUUGAAUGACUCUUUUAUUGGUAGGAAAAUGGUGGAUUUGGUUAAUCGAUCGACAAUCACCCAGAUAGCGUCCAAUCCGUCUGCUGUCUUGGGUAAUUUGGUUAUGAAAUCCAUGGUAAUCCUUUCCCAUUUCCACUGAGUAUCGUCUAUUAUGAGCUUCGUUCAUGGUCACGUCUCUGAAUCCCCUAAAUUUUGGAAUCUAGAUUCGAUUCAUGAAAUAGUAAGCUCCGUCUUCUUUGACUUCAAGAUUUUUAUACAUUCCACAUAGUGCUUCAUUCGUGGCAUUUUUUGGCUUCAAUGCCUCCAAUUGAGCUUCUUUGAUUUGUGAAGUUAGGUGGGAGCGGAUGGUUAUUGUUAGUAUUUUCACUCGGCGACCUGAAUAUUCCUUCCUGCUCAGGGAAUCGACCACCACGUUAGCCUUUCCUGGAUGGUACUUGAUCUCGCAUUCAUAGUCAUUUAGCAGUUCGACCCAUUGUCGUUGCCUCAUGUUCAGCUCUUUUUGGUUCAGAAUAUGCUGGAGGCUUUUGUGGUCUGUGAAGAUGGUGCACUUAGUACCAUAAAGGUAGUGUCUACAAAUUUUUAAGCAGAAGACCACAGCUCCUACCUCAGUAUCAUGGGUGGUAUAGUUAACUUCGUGGGUUUUUAGUUGCCUAGAAGCGUAAGCUAUCACUUUUCCAUGUUGCAUAAGGACACAACCUGAACCUUGAUUUGAAGCGUCGCAAUACACUACGAAAUCUUCAAUUCCCUCUAGUAAGGAUAGUAUUGGAAAACUACAGAGGGCUCGCUUCAGGGUUUGAAAAGCAACUUCUUGUUUGUCAGUCCAGUUGAAGGGUACGCCUUUUUGGGUGGGGGUGGUAAGGGGCUUGGCAAUCUUGGAGAAGUUCUAAGUAAACCUUCGGUAGUAACUUGCAAGGCCCAAGAAUUGUAUGAUUUCUGUUGGCAUUUUCGGAAUCGUCCAGCCUUCAAUAGCUUUGAUCUUCGAAGCAUCCACAUUAAUUCCUUCCUCACUGACUACAUGACCCAAGAAAUUCACACUGCAAAUCCAGAACUCGCAUUUGGAGAGUUUUGUUUAUAGCCUUUCAGCUCUAAUAGUUUCCAAGAUCUGGCGUAGAUGUUGACCAUGCUCCUCCUUACUUCGAGAGUAUAUGAGUAUGUCAUCAAUGAAAAGGAUUACAAAAUUAUCGAGGAAUGGGCAGCAGACUCGAUUCAUGAGAUCUAUAUAUGUUGCAGGAGCAUUUGUCAGACCGAAUGGCGUAACAACAAAUUCAUAAUGACCAUAUCGGGUUCAGAAAGCAGUUUUGGGGAUGUCUUCUUCCGGAACUCGUAGCUGAUGAUAACCAGACCUUAGAUCUAUUCUAUAAAAAUAGCUGGCUCCUUGGAGCUGGUCGAAUAGGUCAUCAAUCCGAUGGAGUGGAUAUCGGUUCUUCAUAGUGAGCUUGUUCAACUCCUGAUAGUCGAUACACAUUCUGAAGGAUUUGUCCUUAUUCUUGACAAACAAAACUGGAGCUCCCCAGGGUGAGAAGCUCGGCCUGAUGAAUCCUUUGUCUAAGAGUUCGCUCAAUUGCCUAGAUAACUCCUGUAUUUUGGUGGGAGCAAACCUGUAGGGUGAAUUGGGCAAUUGAUGUGGCUCCUGGUAUUAGGUAAAUUCAAAAUUCGACCUGUGUUUCUGGGGGUAUUCCCGGAAGGUUUUUAGGAAAUACGUCCGGAAAGUUACAUGCCACUGGGAUAUCUUUAAUGUUUAUUUCCUAUUUUGUUUUAUUUACAACAGGGGAGAGGAAGGCAUAAUUUUUCUUGUGCAGGAAUUUUUAUGCCUUGAUGCACGAGAUAAGACGAAGAUUCAUGUCAAGCUUAUCACUAUAGAUUGCUAGGGUUUCAUGGUUGGGGAGGUGAAGGAGAAUGGCCUUCUCGUGGCACAUAAUGUAUGCAUGAUGGGGGCUUAACUAACCCAUGCCUAUAAUGACAUCAAAACUCAUAAUAUCUACCGGCAUCAAAUUUAUUUGAAAUGAGUUAUUAGUUAGCGUUAGAGUGCACCCUAUGAAUAUAUCUUUGGUUGUUUUGGUUUUCCCAUUGGCCAUCUCCACUGUGAAGGCUUCGCUUAGCUUUUGAGGUUGUUGGUUUGGUAAGUGUUUGAAUUUAUUACUCACAAAGCUCCACUCAGCCUCACUAUCGAAUAAAAUGCAUGCGUAAGUGUUGUUGAGGGAAACAUACUAGUAACAACUGUCGGGUCUUGAAAAACCUCCCCUUGACCCAAUGUCAGGACCCUGCUUGAUCCUCCUGCUCCUUGGUUGUUGGCUUUGUGGCAGUUUCGACUAAAGUUUCCAGUUCCUUUACAUCCAUACCAAGUAUAGCUGGCCUCGUCAUUACUGUUGUUGUUGUUGUUGUUGUUGUUGGGCUAUUGGUUCUGUUGGGGUUGAGAUCUAUAGUACCGGGCGGUGUGCCCCUUGCGUCAAGUUUGUACACUGCAUUUCUCUGCACUCACCAUUGUGGUGGUAGUUGCAUUUGUUACAUUUUUUUACGGUUCCUAAGUAUGGUCUGGUAGUAAUUUGCGCAGUUGAUGUUGGAGCAGUUGGUGCUGGCGCAACUUGAGCGGUAGCAGCGUGGACUACUAUGGUUUGCUACUUUUUGGAGGAUCCUUGGCUCUGCCGUCCCUUUCGUUUGUUUUCCCCAUUCUUCUUCUUAUUCCAUUCCUUCUUGGUCUCAAUCUCAGUAGUUUUGGUACUCUUCUUGUUGCCAUGAUCGUAAAGCUUCUGAGCUAGCCUGUUUGCAUUUUCAAAAGUCUCAGGGUUUGCUGUAAUCACGUUUCCAUGGACUAGGGAAGCUAAUCCCCAAAUGAACUGCUCAAUCGUCUUUCCCUCCGAAGUGAUCAUACUCGGGCACAAAAGGGCUAGUUCACUUAAUCUUGAGACGUACGCCCCGAUGUCUGAGUUUUGCACUGUGAGGUUCCAUAACUCUUGUUCUUGUUUUUGUACUUCCCCACAGAGACAAUAUUAUGCCAUCAACAUAUCUUUAAGUUCUCCCCAAGGCAUAGCGUUUGCAACCGAAAAAGUCAUGGCCUUCACAUGACCAUUCCACCAAGAUAGGGCUUGGUGAACAAAUGUGCAGGCUACAAACUUCACCUUGCUUUCUCCCGGACAUUCAUAGAUUUCAAAGUGGGACUCAGUCUCCUCAAUCCAGCACUUCAAUGCUAUCACACCACCAGUUCCAGUGAAUGUUCGAGGUUUGGCAUUUGAGGAAUCUUUGUAGGUGCAGACUUUUGAUGGGUUUUAGCCAUAAGAACAUCCAAUGUGCUCAUGCAACCUUAAUGCUUGGAUCUAGGUUUCUCUAUUGUACAUGCUAUUCAUCCAAGACUUUAAACCCUAAACCUAGCAUAUGAUAAUCAAUAUUAACAUGAUAAUGGCUUUAAGAUAUUACCUUGAUUGUUAUGUAGCAAUAACAAUCUCAAAUCCUCCUUGUGAUGACUUUAGAAAGCUUAGAGUCACAAAUGUCACUUCUCUAUUGGUUCACAAACACCAAGAGCAAGAGGAUGAAGAAUAAGGAGAGAAGAGGUUUACCAAAACGUGUGGAAACCCUAAGGAUUCAGUUGCCCACGUUUUUGGUGCCCAAGGGGUCCUUAAAUAGUGAGGCUAUUAGGGUUAUCUAACAAGGAAACCCUAAUUUGGAUACUUAGGCCCUAAGCAACCCAUGGACUCCCUCCUUAGAGGCCUUGGACGAUUUCCAAUGGGUUUCCCCCAUAGAAUUCGUCCACUCCUCUAAUAUGGAGUCCAUUAGGCCAAUAUUCAACUAUCAUACAAUUGAAAGUUUUAGUCCCUUAAGUUUAAUUAAUGUCUUUUAGCCACAAACUUAAUUCUUAUUAGUUCUUGACUAAUAUUAAUUAAACAAUAUGAUUUCUCCUUUAAUAUAUUAUUCUCAUAAUAUAUUAAUAAAUCAUAAUUAAUCCUUUCUCUCCAUAAUUCAUCCUAUCAAGUUGCUUUGGUGAAGGCAACCCAAAAGGACCAUGCACCAUGGGGUCAAGUACAUACCAAAAUAGUUAUGGACUUAGACACUAAUCCAACAGUCUCCCACUUGGAUAAGUCUAAUAACUAUUCUGCGUAUGACUUCAGAUCCUAAUCUGCAAUCGUAGCUUUCCAAAGCCGUUGUCAACUCUGAUCUUAUCAGAUAUGCGUGUCCUUAGAUAAGGGAUCAUAUAUUCCUCCAUUCUAGAUAUCGUAUAGAUAUAAGACAUGAAUUCUAAUCAUUCUCUCUAUACUAUUUCCCGACUUCCGAUUUAUGACGACUGACAACAGACUACAAUUGAACACAUCAAAUUAGUCCCGGCUUGGCCAAGCGCUUAGGUGCCAUCACUAAAUCAUCGAGGGGCCCAAAGAUAUCGCUUUUAUCCUACUUUGGAUAAAAGGAACGGAUAAAGUUUGACUCAAUGCUCACUUGCACUUACUUACCGAAUUACACACAACAAUAUGUUUUAUAACACCAAGUUACUGGUGCGUUUACAUAUUAUCAAUGUGUAACCGACUCGCAAGAUACAACUCACACAUCUCGGUUUCAAAAUAUAAGAUGUUAUCGUCUCACUAAUCACUCGUGAAAAAAAAUCCAUGAAGUGAUCCAAGUGAGCGUGGGUUUAAUCCAAUGCUCAAAUCAUAUUCAUAAGCACUCAUGAACGUUGCAGCAAACANNNNNNNNNNNNNNNNNNNNNNNNNNNNNNNNNNNNNNNNNNNNNNNNNNNNNNNNNNNNNNNNNNNNNNNNNNNNNNNNNNNNNNNNNNNNNNNNNNNNNNNNNNNNNNNNNNNNNNNNNNNNNNNNNNNNNNNNNNNNNNNNNNNNNNNNNNNNNNNNNNNNNNNNNNNNNNNNNNNNNNNNNNNNNNNNNNNNNNNNNNNNNNNNNNNNNNNNNNNNNNNNNNNNNNNNNNNNNNNNNNNNNNNNNNNNNNNNNNNNNNNNNNNNNNNNNNNNNNNNNNNNNNNNNNNNNNNNNNNNNNNNNNNNNNNNNNNNNNNNNNNNNNNNNNNNNNNNNNNNNNNNNNNNNNNNNNNNNNNNNNNNNNNNNNNNNNNNNNNNNNNNNNNNNNNNNNNNNNNNNNNNNNNNNNNNNNNNNNNNNNNNNNNNNNNNNNNNNNNNNAAGAAUAAUACUAAUCCCAUAUGGCCCCAAACUUUUGAGUAUAAAUAAAACACUUUUUAUCUAUCACCAUAUUGAUUACUCAUUAUUUGUUGUUUCGGGUAAUCAACUUCUUACUUGAAUUAUUACUACACUUGUCCCAUGCUCUUAGCAUGCACACAAUGCUUACCUAUGGUUCUUACUUUGUGAAAUAGAUUAAAUGAACACAUUUCCAAUCAUACUCAUUUCACAACUCCCAAUCCUUAUCACAAGUGUAAGAAUAUCAAAUUCUUUCCACUUAUAGAAUAUGCUAGAUUCUAACAUUUUAUGCAAUGAUCCUUUUGUAAUGUCACUGCACUAAGGUCACAAUGACUAUUGCCAAUGAAUUACAAAGCUCUCGAUCGGAAAUUGUUACAAGACAAUUCCAUAGAUGUGAUGUCUCUCAUUCAAAGUACAUUCCUUUGAACAUCCUUUUGCAUAAAAGUUUCUAAUCUUGACAUAGAUUCUCAAUAUCCAACUCCCAAUAUGGAAAACUUUCCAUACUUACCAUAUGACAACUCAUUCUUAAUAGAAUCCUAUCUAUUCAUAAUAAUGUCGAUAUGUUCCAUUCAAUAUCAUACUUCCAACUACUCACAAGCGACCAAUCCUUAGCAAGCUUUGGAUCGUUCUUUGAUAGUUGUUUAAUUAUCUUAGUUAAAACCAAUUCUAGUCCUUUUUCCCUCUAAAUGCGCUAGACAUUUGGAAAAUUUUAGAAUGGUCAAAUAUUAUUGCAUUUGCAAUCGAUCCUAUACCCGAAGUGUAUGGGACACGAUAAUAAAAGAUACGAUACUUUAUGAAUCUUUUGCCACAAUAUUUUAUGUGUCACGUUCUCACAAUUCGAAUUAUGAAGAGGGAUACCGUAAUCAUAAUCGAAAUUUAAGAACACACUAUGUAUCCUUUGACUAUAUUUCAUAACAUUCCACAACCUAAGCCUUUAGAUUUUAAAUGAAGCAUAAUAUUCUCUCCCUUAAUUAUAGCAAAACAAUUAUUCAAUCCUUACGACUUUACAAAGUAUAAUUCUUGUUUUCUAUAAUUAAUAUUGCUAACUUGAAAUACUUGCCUUAAUAAUCAUACAAGCACAACAUUUAUGCUCCCACUAUGAUGAUUAUUAUCAUAUAAGCAGAACACUUAUGCUCCCACUAGCUUUGACAUGUUUUAGAAAACAACUGAACUUCCAGAAAACAAUAUUUCUAAUACCUAAUGGUUUGAUAAUCCUUUAUCUAAGCUUCGUAAACUUAUACACCUAUGCCUUAGAUAGCUCAUAUGUAUGUCUUAAACAAUUCAAACUAAUUGCCAAAUCUCAUAAUUCGAAUUAUGGAAAGGGAUACCGUAACCAUAAUCAAAUUUGAGAAUACAAUUUUACAAUCGCUAUCUUCUUAAAAUCUCUCUUAGUGAAAGCAUUUCCUCACAGUCAUCUUCAUGAAGGAGAAAAUCUUAUGACAAUUAAAUUUUAAUGGUGUAUGUGUUCCUAUCCAUGUGAAUUUGUCAAAAUCAAAGUUUACGACAAAUUCAAACUCAUAUGGACCGAACCUUCUCAAACUUGAUUUCUUGCCUUAUGGUAACACGAGUGCCCACCAUGUCUUCCAAGUAGUUAAGCAGCCACCCUCUUCUUAUCAAUGUACUUUUCAUUGAUCAAGGUCCUUGACUUUUAUGCAUUCAAAUGAGAACUUAUAGAACUCACAUGCAUCAUUAACUCAAUUGGAACGGAACAGAAACCAGAUAGUGUCAACACGAUAGGUUGUAAACCUCAAGUCGUGUGCUAGUGAUGAUCGAUAAGGUUUAUUCUUGAUUAGUUCUUGAAACUUUUCGAGAUCAUUAAGACUCCCACUGAAUCCUUGACAUAUAAGAUUCUCUUUUCAAUAAACAUUUCUUCGACAAAUCAAUAUUCAAGAGUUAGUGUAGCUUUUAUCAAGACAAAACACUUCAUAAGUUGGUCCUAGUUGGUCUUUGUCUUAUCCAAGACAUCACAACAUUCCAAUUUCAAAUGUGAAAGAAUAAGAAAACCUUUUUUUCCAAAUUCUAUCUUUGAUGAAUGUUAUAAACCUUCUUAAGACUUAUCACUCAAUGUCGCAAUCUUAACUCUCAGAUUUGGUUUUGGAACGAAGUAUGAUUGACCUCUUGAUUUUAACCAUUUCUUCAAUUCUUGAUUUCUCUUCUCAGACAUACAAUUGUACUAAGAUUCAGUUAGAGGAUCAAUUAAGAUAUGCUUCUUAAUCAUUAAGACAUUUCAUAAAGCAUAAAAGGUACUCUCCCUUCUCCUUAGAAUAGAGAACCUUUUAUCUUUCUGCCUACUCGAUUCUUCUUAUUCGUUCCUCUAUUGAUUUAAAAUCUUUCAAUCAAUUUAGAAUUACACUUAAUCUUAUAAGUAUAAUCAUAUUUACUAAACCUUUAGUAAAUCAUGACAAAUAUCCUUGUUACUCUUGUGGUUGACUUGAUCAACACACAACUUUGUGUAUUCGAUCUCCCAGUCCAUCACUUGACACUUUGUCAACGAACUAGUCCAAUUUCCAAAUAUGAAGUUUAUCAUUCAUAAUGCAACCAAGUUGCAUGAUUCCAAGUUUCUAUCCAAUUGAAACUUGGGCGAUGAGAAACUUUCCCUAUUUGGUAAAUUCUUGACCUUUCCACAAAUAACAUAAUUAAGAAUCACAUCCAUUCGUUGUAGAAAUAUGCAAACAUCUAUUUUUCAUAACGAUUUCAUUGCAAGGAAAUAAAUAAAUAAAUAAAUACGUCAAGCAAAAUUUAUUUUAUUCAUAAAAGCAGCGAAAAACAUUUGUCCUUACAAUGCAAAAUCAAUUAAAAAACUAUGUCAUCAAAUAUUCCUAACAACUCUAUCAUAACUUUCUAAGCUCAAAAUCUAAUAUUCGAAUCCAUGUGAUCAAGAUCCAUCUCUUUGUGAUCAGACUCAUCUUGCCUUUCCAUCAGGCUUCCUCUCUUUUCACUGAUCCUGCAAAACAUUCAAUUGCAGUCUUAUCACAUUAUGUAUUAAGAAUCAAUGAAUAGGAACUUAAUGGAGUUAGAUAGUGGAUUUUACCUGAAGCACAUCCAUACUCUUUGACUCUCCCAUCUUCUGGACUCUUCAGGCUCUUAGGGAAGACUUGUAUCCAAUGCCCUUUCACUUGGCAGCAAAUGCAGGUCGGUUCUCCUAGAAUGUCCUCGGAAGCAUGGUUGGUUGCUUUCCCAACAAAUAUGCUCCAUUGCUUUGCCAAAUCAUUUCUGAUUCAGCAGCAAUGAGCAUGUAAGUUAGGUCAAUGAGGUUUGCGUCAUGAUCCAUCAUAUAAUACUUUCUUUUGAACUCAUUAUAUGAUUCAGGGAGUGACUGCAGAACCCAGUCUACAGCCAACUUAUCAGGGAAUGACGCACCCAACAUAAUCAACCUAUCGAUGUGUGAUUUCAUUCCUAGAACGUGGGCACACACGGGCUUACCAUCUUCAUGUUUCAUUGCCAAUAGGGCUUUAGUGANACCAUGAUUGUCAUACUUUGACAUCUACAAAACGGGAGAAAAAGAAUUCAAGUUAGUUGAUUUAUUGAGUCCUUAGUAAAUCACCCAAAUGAUAUACUAGGCUAGGACCCAACACAAUAUUCCACAACUCGAGAGAGGGAUGACAUAAACUAAAUUGCAGAACAAUUGAAGGUAAGUGAAUGACGAUUCACUAAUUUUCCAUCAUGAAAAACGAAAAACAGAUUAAGUUUUAAAUGUAUUGAAAACUCCUAGAUCCUUUGAGAUUUAUUGAAUUUUCAAUGGCAUGUUUAAAUCUCAAUAUACCCCUCUAGUUUGUGACUGGGAUGCCGAGGAUCACAAAGCGGUUGUGAAUAACCAUGCAAAUCUACAUGGUGCCCCCACAUGUUACAGUCACCUAUUCGAUGUGCUGGUUAACCACACAUGCUCCACCGAACUAUGAAAAACAUUGAGUCACCCUUCGCUACCUUUUCUUAGAACCAUUAAGUGUGCCGGUUAACCACACACGCUCCACUAACGUCUUCGCAAGGGCACGAAGUGUAAUUUCAUGGAAUUGCAUCAAGGAACUUUUUCCUAAAGUAACUAAGAUUGAGAAUUUUAUAAAAACAUUUAGUUACUUUUGUACUUCAUUAUACUUAUAAUGGAAGGUUUCUGUCCUAUCCUACCCGUUCGGCUAACGACCCUCCACUAGUCAAGAGUGUGGUGGGUAAGAGUGGAUACCCAUUCAAUCGCCAUUUUAUAGGCAAUUUCCUUAAACACCCCUUAUAGACCAGCUUCAUGAAUG
RNAcentral lists this long non-coding RNA (21151 nucleotides) under Lactuca sativa (garden lettuce). RNAcentral describes it as "long non-coding RNA (LSAT_LNC002652)". Lineage: Eukaryota; Viridiplantae; Streptophyta; Magnoliopsida; Asterales; Asteraceae. The record is from RNAcentral.